This 29-nucleotide non-coding RNA is filed under the name Mus musculus (house mouse). Lineage: Eukaryota; Metazoa; Chordata; Mammalia; Rodentia; Muridae. The record is from RNAcentral.
UAUGAAAACAGUGCAGAUAGCUAAAAACU